This 578-nucleotide long non-coding RNA is filed under the name Ananas comosus (pineapple). Its description in RNAcentral is "long non-coding RNA (ACOM_LNC024873)". Lineage: Eukaryota; Viridiplantae; Streptophyta; Magnoliopsida; Poales; Bromeliaceae. The record is from RNAcentral.
UCCAUUUACUCUAAGGGAUAAUUGCCUUAUACUCCUCAUACAUUUGAAAAUAUCCGAUUUAUCUCUACUUUUUCUUUCUUUCUAAAAUACCCCUCAUAUGUUUCACCGUUAUUGCAAAUUACCCAUGCAGUUAUCUCCUGUUAAGUUAAUUUGAGUUAAAUGUGAGUUAAAUAUCUACCAUAGUUAAAAUUAAAAUGUCAAUUUUGCCCUUAACUUAAGGGCAAAUAAGAAAGGUUGGUGACGGUAGAGGGGUAUAUUGGAAAAGACCAAAAGUCAAAACACUUUUUUUGCCCCUGAUUUUAAGAGCAAAUAAGAAAGACAGUGAUGGUAGAAUGAUAUAUUUGAAAGGGCAAAAUAGUAAUUUUACAGAAAUAAUAGAGUUAUUUAACAGAUUUUAACUCUAGGUAUAUUAGAAAUAGGUUGGAACGUAAGAGGAGUAUUUUCAAUAUUAGCCUUCUAAGAGAGGUAAAUCGAAAAGUCGAGAACAUUUCAGAGGUAUAUAAGCAAUUGCCCCUACUUCUAAAUAUAUUCUAAUUUUGUUUUUGUAUGUGAGAGAGAGAGAGAGAGAGAUGUUUUUU